This is a long non-coding RNA of Tympanuchus pallidicinctus (lesser prairie-chicken), 859 nucleotides long. RefSeq lists it as uncharacterized. Lineage: Eukaryota; Metazoa; Chordata; Aves; Galliformes; Phasianidae. The record is from RefSeq and is a predicted model, not a curated record. The transcript is spliced from 2 exons.
CUACCACUGGGGAAGAAUCUCUUUUGGAGAUUGCUCCUCUUGGAGUCUUCUCAGUGAGCCCAGGACAAGGCAGGCAGAAAAAUUUGUCUCUGAAGACAGGAAGAGAUGAGUGUUUCUUGCCUGACUGAUCUGAGGAGUCAGGACUCCCAGCUGCAGCGAGUUGCCGAAAGCUUCAUUCCUUACAGUGAUGACAAGCCCAGCCAUGGCUCCAAAGCCCCUGUCAGCUAAGAGAUUAUUUGCUAAAGAUGAUCUGUCAAGGGCUGUCCUAGCUGAUGCCUCUGUGCCACUCUUCAAAUAAACGAGCAGCCUUGCAUCACUGUGAGUGACCCAGCACACCCCCGUGAUCCUCUGCAGGAGCAGUAAGGGCCGUAUGGCAACAGCCACAGGCAUGGAACUGAUUAGCUGUGACCAACUGGUUUUCUGACAGGAGGCAACAGUCAAACCAAGGUGGUUUGGGAACAGGCAGGGGUUAUCUUCUUCCCCUAUCAAGGCUGUAGUGAAGAAGAUGGUGGGAUAGACCAAGGUCUUGAAGUUCCUGUGGGGCUUAGCACAGUUUCUACUCAUCCUAUUCAGGGAUGCUCACUGACAGCUCCUGCAGGCAGCUAGAUCCAGACGUGUAUUUGCAGCCUGAUGACAGCAGCUUAUACUGUCUUACCUUGGGAAAGUUAUCAUGAACAUCUGUGUUUUUUUCUGUGAGAUCUGAUGUGCCAGUCCUUAGCUCCCCUCUGAAGGGAAACAGCAGUUGUUGCAGUCUGAAGCUGCCUCUCUCCAGCUCAGAGCAAUUUUGAAGGGGAAAAUAUUUUCUGAACAGCUGUGCCUGAUUGUGCUUUUUCUUCUUUUGCUGGAAAAAAAAAAUAAA